CCCUGAUGCACAAGGUACUCUAAAUAAACUUUUUAAAUUUUAAAAUUUAAAAAUAAAUAUAAAUUUCCUUUACAGUAAAUUAAUAAAAACUAUUCUAAUUAUUAUACACAUUAUUUAUUACUUUAAAAUAAUUCUUUUUAAAUAAUUUUUUAUAUAAAAAAU
This 162-nucleotide ribosomal RNA is filed under the name Ixodes turdus. RNAcentral describes it as "partial 16S ribosomal RNA". The record is from RNAcentral. Lineage: Eukaryota; Metazoa; Arthropoda; Arachnida; Ixodida; Ixodidae.